This 245-nucleotide long non-coding RNA is filed under the name Suricata suricatta (meerkat). RNAcentral describes it as "lncRNA (ENSSSUG00005019316.1)". The record is from RNAcentral. Lineage: Eukaryota; Metazoa; Chordata; Mammalia; Carnivora; Herpestidae.
GAGGUGGGGAGAAUGUCACCAUUCGGUUUUUCAGGACCAUCUUACAUAAAGCUUGUGAUGUUCUGAGAUUUUAACUUCCUAGGUGCCAGGACGUUUCAGCAGAAUAUCAAGGUAGGAUUUGCAGGACACAGAUUCUAAAACACAAGUUUGCACACAGGACGUUACAGGAUGUGUUCAUGGCGGUCAACAUCUAUACAAACGCAAAAGAAGUCGGAUUGAGUAGAGAAAGCAAUCGGGCUGCACAG